AAAGCUCUAACCCAGUGCCCCAAGCCUUAGGUCUUCCAUACCCCGGCAGCGGGCCCCGCCCCUCGGUUUCCCAACCUGCCUGACCCCGCCCUGCCUCUCCUAACUCCUCCCAGGCCCCGCCUCCGCCGCUUCCCACAGCCCUUCCCGUCGGCUCCUGGCUCCAGGCUCCCACCCGGCUCGGCGGAGGUGGAAGCGCGCAGGCGCCGUUGGCGGCAGGCAGAGUGCGGAGUAGCGGCGCGGGGUGCGCGAGAGGCGAUUCCAAGAUGAUAAGGAACAAAGGGUAGGUUUUAAUUUGGAAGACUUGGAGCAUCAGACUUCUUGUAGGCCAAACACAGUAGCACAUAUCAGAAACAGGUAUGCAACCAUGGAGUUCUGACUGCUUGCUUUACUGAGAUAGCCUUGAGAAAGUCGGUUAAACUAACCAACAUGAGGGCAGGUUUUAUGUUAUUGAAUAUUUUGAUGAUCAGACUCCUG
Molecule: long non-coding RNA, 474 nt
Filed under: Capra hircus (goat)
Lineage: Eukaryota; Metazoa; Chordata; Mammalia; Artiodactyla; Bovidae
Description: lncRNA (ENSCHIG00000004254.1)
Source: RNAcentral